GACGAACGCUGGCGGCGUGCUUAACACGUGCAAGUCGAGCGGUAAGGCCCUUUCGGGGGUACACGAGCGGCGAACGGGUGAGUAACACGUGGGUGACCUGCCUUUAGCUCUGGGAUAAGCCUGGGAAACUGGGUCUAAUACCGGAUAUGACCCUAUGGCGCAUGUUGUGGGGUGGAAAGCCUUGUGCGGCUAGGGAUGGGCCCGCGGCCUAUCAGCUUGUUGGUGGGGUGAUGGCCUACCAAGGCGACGACGGGUAGCCGGCCUGAGAGGGCGACCGGCCACACUGGGACUGAGACACGGCCCAGACUCCUACGGGAGGCAGCAGUGGGGAAUCUUGCGCAAUGGGCGAAAGCCUGACGCAGCGACGCCGCGUGAGGGAUGACGGCCUCGGUU
This 393-nucleotide ribosomal RNA is filed under the name uncultured bacterium. RNAcentral describes it as "bacterial SSU rRNA". It matches the Rfam family "Bacterial small subunit ribosomal RNA", at positions 28 to 424 of the family's 1533-position model. The record is from RNAcentral.